Molecule: non-coding RNA, 112 nt
Organism: Pseudomonas floridensis
Lineage: Bacteria; Pseudomonadati; Pseudomonadota; Gammaproteobacteria; Pseudomonadales; Pseudomonadaceae
Source: Rfam
GUAUGGGUCACCGCAAGGUUUCUGGCCUCAACGCCAGACCGUAUUCUGCGGUUCGCGCGUCGAACCGUAACCGGCAAGUCCGGAUUUAUAACCGGCCGGUGCAUUCACCGGG